Molecule: microRNA precursor, 103 nt
Filed under: Marmota monax (woodchuck)
Lineage: Eukaryota; Metazoa; Chordata; Mammalia; Rodentia; Sciuridae
Source: RNAcentral
GAAACAGUUUUUGGAUUAUGUAGUAAGUAUACAAAUAAUUCUGUGGGCCACUGCCAAACUAUCUUUCAAAGUGGCUGUACUAUUUAGCAUUUCUACUAGAAAC